Molecule: non-coding RNA, 73 nt
Organism: Dallia pectoralis (Alaska blackfish)
Lineage: Eukaryota; Metazoa; Chordata; Actinopteri; Esociformes; Umbridae
Source: the annotation of a GenBank genome assembly
GCAUGUUUGGUUCAGUGGUUUGUGUGCUUGGUUCAAGAACUAGAGGUUUGGGGUUUGAUUCCCCCAGCUAGCU